Long non-coding RNA from Nerophis ophidion (straightnose pipefish), 885 nucleotides. RefSeq lists it as uncharacterized. NCBI's taxonomy places the organism in Eukaryota, Metazoa, Chordata, Actinopteri, Syngnathiformes, Syngnathidae. The record is from RefSeq and is a predicted model, not a curated record. The transcript is spliced from 2 exons.
UUGUUCAACAUUCUUUCCUGCACCUUUCUUAUCAGGCACUGGCGGUCAGGGCAGGUCAAAAGUUCGUGUGUGUGUGUGUGUGUGUGUGUGUGUGUGUGUGUGUGUGUGUGUGUGUGUGUGUGUGUGUGUGUGUGUGUGUGUGUGUGUGUGUGUGUGUGUGUGUGUGUGUGUGUGUGUGUGUGCGAGUGUGUGUGUGUGUGUGUGUGUGCGAGUGAACGCAGCUGCUCAGACGACAGGAUGUCCCACUCUGAUGAAUAUGUAGAAAUAUUUACUCUAGUCAAGGUGACAGCUGGUCACAUGACAGGAAGACGACAUGACACGACAAAAGCGACACAAGAAUGGCACAAAGAGAGAAGGUGUGCUAACGUUAGCCGGACACUUGAACUUUAGACGAACUCGUCAGUAAGAAGUAAAAGGCUCGUCUCGACCCCCUCAAAAGAAAACAUCAAGAGAGCAGGAGGUCACAUGACAACAUAAACAACGCCAUGCGUGUGUGUGAGCUUGCCAUCAUGGAGGUCAAAAGUGAAGAUGUGAUUUGAGCACUAAGACAAGACUAUAGUGGCCAUCAACACUGACCUUCUACAGCUUUUCUUGGCCAAAGUGCGGCACAGGGGCCAUCUGUGGUCCCUGACUCCUUUGUCAUCAAAUACACAAUGUCUCUUUUGUGGUGACAUCAUCAACAUGAGGCUGCUCCCAAAAAGGAGGGAUUGUGUGUCGCUUUUAAAAGUGCUCCCCCUCUGGCCAACAUAUGAAAUAACAAGUGUGUGUAAGAAAUGGAUUUCUUUUUAAAUUAUUUUUUUUUAAUAACUGUGUAUAUGUAUAUAAACACAUACUGCAAUAACUUCAAGUAAAUAAUGAAGAUUAAAAAACAAUUAUGAAUUAAAA